RNAcentral lists this non-coding RNA (26 nucleotides) under Mus musculus (house mouse). The record is from RNAcentral. Lineage: Eukaryota; Metazoa; Chordata; Mammalia; Rodentia; Muridae.
UUGUUCCCUUAGUAGAGGCUGUGUUG